Molecule: non-coding RNA, 2427 nt
Organism: Coffea arabica (coffee)
Lineage: Eukaryota; Viridiplantae; Streptophyta; Magnoliopsida; Gentianales; Rubiaceae
Source: RefSeq, a predicted model, not a curated record
UCCCAGAAUCAGCUCAGCACGAGCAUAUAUGUAAUGGAAAAUGGAGGAAAAUCUCACUGAGUGACUGUUGGACAAAGUCGAGCACAGGUCAAAGUUACCAAUUCAGACACCUGCAGAAACGCGCCAAAGCUGAAACUCGAAAAGCUCCUUCAACUUCAAUCUGAGAGAACAUGAUGCUUGUCUUGCAUCUUAUUGAGGUCGGAGUGCACUCAAAUAUUACGGUUUCACAAGCAAUUGCCUCUUUGCCAAUAUCAAGUAGGUACAAUAUGUUUUUUGUUGCUGAUCACGAAGGAGAGAAGGAGUUCCUAGCUUUGAAUGUGUAGAUCAGGUGCCUUUUUUCUUUUUUUCGAAACGAUAUUUGAUUAUAUUACUUUCAAACAUAUGCAAGUGCAAGCAAAGGCUCAAGUUAACUUUACAUUCAGUGUGCUUGACACUGAGGAAACGAGAGUUCCUCAUCGAUUGUGAUGCCUAAGGCAUAGAUGCUAAUCCUAGAGAUUAGAUGAUUCUUAUCACUAUUAGCUAGACAAAAGGAACACAUAUGAAACAGCCCUUUCAAUUGGCCAAUAUCUUCCACCAACAUAGCUAUUCUAAUAUCACUUGCCUUCUGUGCUCGAAUGUGGUUGAGGAGUUGCUUGUUUUGCACUUGGAAUUCCACUUUCCUUUGUUGCAAGGUGGUAGCUUUGCUCAUGGCCAGCUUUAGUGCCACUGCCUCGUGAACCAGGAAAGAUGGAACAAAUUUUAGGUACUUGCAAAUUGCUAUUACAAGUGAUGCCCAGAAAUUGAAACUUGCUCUGAACCAUGUCAUUAUCACGGUCAACAACCCACUCUAAGUUUGAACGAGUCGUUUCUUAACACUUCAGGGUGAACUCCAUUACCUUUAGCUAUAAGUUGCUGGUGUAGCCGGUUGUGUAACUCCUGCUGUUCUAAAAAUAGCUAGGGAAGUACUUUGUGCAGCAUCUGCUCUCUCUCUCUCUGACUCUGCAAUUCUUUUCAACAAAUGUUCUGGUCAUUGGGCGUGUCUGCAGUUUUUUCCUUGUGCCAUUUGAUAUUGGUACUCCAAGAAAGAACAUCUGACAUUUCAAGAGACAUAGGAACAAUCCUAAGCUGUCUUAGCAGGUUCUUAAUUUAAAGCACCUAAGAAGCAGUAUACCAUACAGAAGAUUGCAGGAAAACCAAAAGAAAUUGACAAACUAUUGGAGCAUGCAUUGAUGACGUGAUCAUCUUCUUGGAUGGCUGGCCUGCAUCAAAUGCCUCAGUGAAGCAAGAUCAAAGAGGGAAAAGAAGUUGUUUCAAGAAUUGUAGAUCAACUUCCAGCCAGUGGAAAAUGGAAACGAGCAGAAAGCAGGAAUGCCAAUUGAAUGAAUAUCCUGAAAAUGUUGACAGAUGAAUUCAGGGAAGAGAAAACAGGCUCUAGCUCUCUGCAGGUAGCCAUCACUAAUGAUGCCUGAAAGUGAAACAAGCGUUUAACGAUGCCAUGAUGCCACUAUCGCAAUUCUGCAUUGGUGCACUGGUAAGUUUGUACAAGUUUUCUAACACUUCAGAAGUUGGACUACAUCCUUGAUUAUAAGUUGCUGGGUAACUGGCAGUGCAAUAUCCAUGUAACUUCUGCUCUUCUAGGAAUGGCUAUGAAAGAUAUUUGUGCAGGUUUUUUUGUUUUCACUCUCUCAUCUUUUGGCUGUGGGAAAGGAGGGAGGGAGAGGGGAUACAAGGGGCUGUAGAAAGGAAAGUUAUCUGGAAGAUAGCCAGAUUGUCGUUGUCUGUAUAAGAAGCUGAUGCUCAAUGCUGUCACAUUUUGUGUCUUGCACCAUUUGAUAUUCAUCCAAAAUAGUCGAAGGGCCGUAUAGUUUGUUGCUAAACUGGCACAGCCAAAAUGGUUUUUUUUCAUGUCUAAUUAUUAAUCUUUAUUCCACAAAAUUGGAAAGAAGAUGAUGAAAGCCAUCUGUUCAGGUAGUUCUUCAUGUUUCCAUUAGCCUAUAAUCUGGAAUUUACUUUACCUAUUUGGUGUUUUGUAGUCAAUAUAUGUUCUCUCUGUUCUUUCCGAAUUUCCGCAUAGUCCUUUAUGCAGGUCAUCCAAUAAAGAGCAUCAAACAUAUAUUGGAAUUAUACUUGAAGCUUUUUGCCUGUAAUUGUCAGACUACUAUAUAGAAGGACAACCAAAAGAAAUUCACAAACUACUGGAGCAUGCGUGGACUAGUUGAUAGUCUUUUGCAUUACUGGCCUGCAGCGAAUGUCUCAACUGGAAGUAUUUAUGAUGCUGGCAAGAGAGAAUCCUUUGAUUCCUGCAUUUUAUCUUACAGUUGUGUUCCUUCACUUGCAAUAUCCACAAGUAGUCAUUACUCCUCAAUGAUGAAGCCUACACUUUAAUUGCAUCAGGAAGGGGAAGAAGUCUUGCAGUAAAAUUUCAUUUGCUCUUAAUCAAGUGGAAAU